AAAAAUCAAGUCUUCAAGAGAGAAAAGAAGAGACCGAAGCUAGAGACAAAAAGGGAAAAAAAUUGCCAAGUUCUUCAAUUUUGAUCUAAAAAUCUCGUCUUUCUCAAAUUCUUACUAAGUUCAAGCUCCUCUUUAAAGGGGUAUAAUUGGGUAAGCGAGAGAACUACGAUUGUGGCAAGUCGAAAAUUGAAGAAAAGAUUUUUGGAAAGGCCAAGAGUUAGGUGUGGUGACUAAGGAAGCGGACAAGGUACACACAGACAAGUAGAAGUUACUAUAGAAGAUGUUCUAGCGGGGUUAGCAACUCCACUUGUUCCUGGAGUGCUGCCGAGUCAGAGUAUAUGCGCUAUGAUGUUUCAUUCGAAGUUAGAGACUUUGCAGACAGAGUCGUGGGUAUAGAGUGUCAGCUUUGUAAGUGGCUUCACCAGCCGAUAUGUUAUUAUGUCGUAUGUCACGAGUUUUAUGGGAGGAGAGAUUUGGAAAGCUUAGCUAUGUUUUUUUUUUCUUAUUGAUGUAAAAGUCUAAAUAGAUUAAGUAUGUGCUAUGAAG
This is a long non-coding RNA of Solanum dulcamara, 546 nucleotides long. RefSeq lists it as uncharacterized. NCBI's taxonomy places the organism in Eukaryota, Viridiplantae, Streptophyta, Magnoliopsida, Solanales, Solanaceae. The record is from RefSeq and is a predicted model, not a curated record. The transcript is spliced from 3 exons.